RNAcentral lists this ribosomal RNA (1211 nucleotides) under Neisseria shayeganii. RNAcentral describes it as "bacterial SSU rRNA". It matches the Rfam family "Bacterial small subunit ribosomal RNA", at positions 239 to 1444 of the family's 1533-position model. Lineage: Bacteria; Pseudomonadati; Pseudomonadota; Betaproteobacteria; Neisseriales; Neisseriaceae. The record is from RNAcentral.
GAUUAGCUAGUUGGUGGGGUAAGGGCCUACCAAGGCGACGAUCAGUAGCGGGUCUGAGAGGAUGAUCCGCCACACUGGGACUGAGACACGGCCCAGAUUCCUACGGGAGGCAGCAGUGGGGAAUUUUGGACAAUGGGCGCAAGCCUGAUCCAGCCAUGCCGCGUGUCUGAAGAAGGCCUUCGGGUUGUAAAGGACUUUUGUCAGGGAAGAAAAGCUUUGGGUUAAUACCCUGGAGUGAUGACGGUACCUGAAGAAUAAGCACCGGCUAACUACGUGCCAGCAGCCGCGGUAAUACGUAGGGUGCGAGCGUUAAUCGGAAUUACUGGGCGUAAAGCGAGCGCAGACGGUUUGUUAAGCAGGAUGUGAAAUCCCCGGGCUCAACCUGGGAACUGCGUUCUGAACUGGCAGGCUAGAGUAUGUCAGAGGGGGGUAGAAUUCCACGUGUAGCAGUGAAAUGCGUAGAGAUGUGGAGGAAUACCGAUGGCGAAGGCAGCCCCCUGGGAUAAUACUGACGUUCAUGCUCGAAAGCGUGGGUAGCAAACAGGAUUAGAUACCCUGGUAGUCCACGCCCUAAACGAUGUCAAUUAGCUGUUGGGGCACUUGAUGCCUUAGUAGCGUAGCUAACGCGUGAAAUUGACCGCCUGGGGAGUACGGUCGCAAGAUUAAAACUCAAAGGAAUUGACGGGGACCCGCACAAGCGGUGGAUGAUGUGGAUUAAUUCGAUGCAACGCGAAGAACCUUACCUGGUCUUGACAUGUACGGAAUCCUCCAGAGACGGAGGAGUGCCUUCGGGAGCCGUAACACAGGUGCUGCAUGGCUGUCGUCAGCUCGUGUCGUGAGAUGUUGGGUUAAGUCCCGCAACGAGCGCAACCCUUGUCAUUAGUUGCCAUCAUUUAGUUGGGCACUCUAAUGAGACUGCCGGUGACAAACCGGAGGAAGGUGGGGAUGACGUCAAGUCCUCAUGGCCCUUAUGACCAGGGCUUCACACGUCAUACAAUGGUCGGUACAGAGGGUAGCCAAGCCGCGAGGUGGAGCCAAUCCCAAAAAACCGAUCGUAGUCCGGAUUGCACUCUGCAACUCGAGUGCAUGAAGUCGGAAUCGCUAGUAAUCGCAGGUCAGCAUACUGCGGUGAAUACGUUCCCGGGUCUUGUACACACCGCCCGUCACACCAUGGGAGUGGGGGAUACCAGAAGUAGGUAGGGUAACCGCAA